UUGAGGGGUGACCUUACAAAGAUUUAUAAAAUCAUGAGGGGUGUAGAUAAGAUGAAUGACAGGUGUCUUUUACCUAGGGUGGAUGAUUUCAAGAAUUGGGUGCAUAUUUUUAAGGUGAGAGGAGGAAAGUUUUAAAAAGACAUGAGGUUACGCAGAGUGGUUCGUGUGUGGAACGAACUUCCAGAGGGACUGAUGAAUGGGGGUAUAGUUACAGUCUGUUCUGCAAUAAUGCAUAUUUCUUCAACGCAAAUUGGCUUUAACACAAUUGAAAAUUUUAGGCUGUUAUUUGUAAAAUGCAAACUUUCAAAACUUAUGAUUUCAGCCCCAUUAGUUUAAAUGGUGCUGCUAUUUUGCAAUGUUCUUUGAACAGGAGAUCACAUGAGAACGGAACGAUCAUGUUAUAUCAGAACCGACUCUACAAUGUUUAAGAGACAUAUUGAAUCAUUCAGUUCUGAAGGAAAAAUAUUAAGCCGACUCUGGCUCGUUUCGAAAAUAUUUUCUCAUCAACCUGUUCAGAGAUGUCAUGACACACAUCUAGAGCAGAUCACUUUUAAUGGCUCUUCUGGAGCCUGCCAAACAUCUCAAACUGGUUUGAACAGGUCUGCUCAGGGUAAACAUUAAUUUCCUGGGUUGGAGAGAAAUAAAGAACUUAGAAAAUGGAAUCCUUCAACAGAACAAUCAACAUUAGUUUUUUGUUUCAGCAUUAACAACGGCUUCCAUUGAUGCUGCCAGCCUUGAUGAGCUUCUUUAGAACUUUCAGUGUUUGAUUCAAUCAUUCACUCACUGAGGCAGUCACUAAUGACUGCUCUUUCCAAUAUACCUGCAACAUAACAUGUUAAUCGCAGUUGACCUUAUUAUUUUGAAAAAGAUCCAGUAAUUUCAGAUAAACAAAUGCGCCUUGAGUUCUGUUUCAUUGUAAAUUGCAAGAGUAUGUGUACAAAUCUGCCCAAAGUCUUGAAAUAAAAAUCAAAUUGCCAUUUUAUGUUGAAAUGCCCCACUGACAUUCAUUACACAUCAUUAAGUUCCUGAAUUUACAAUUU
This is a non-coding RNA of Chiloscyllium plagiosum (whitespotted bambooshark), 1040 nucleotides long. The record is from RefSeq and is a predicted model, not a curated record. Lineage: Eukaryota; Metazoa; Chordata; Chondrichthyes; Orectolobiformes; Hemiscylliidae.